GCACGAUCCGGUGAGCGCUGAAUUUAUGGUCCCCCACCUUGAGGGUCACGUCGCACAGCUUGCCCUGCCUCCGGAUCUCGCCCAUCACGCCGUAGCCGCGGCUGGGCAGGUCGCCCACCGAGAAGUGCACCAAGUCCUCGGGGUCCAGCUCGGGCUCGGCCGCGGCCGCGGCCGCCGCCUCCAGCAUCGUCCCGACCGCCACACCGC
RNAcentral lists this long non-coding RNA (207 nucleotides) under Gallus gallus (chicken). The record is from RNAcentral. Lineage: Eukaryota; Metazoa; Chordata; Aves; Galliformes; Phasianidae.